Molecule: long non-coding RNA, 2497 nt
Filed under: Homo sapiens (human)
Lineage: Eukaryota; Metazoa; Chordata; Mammalia; Primates; Hominidae
Description: TBC1D8 antisense RNA 1 (TBC1D8-AS1)
Source: RNAcentral
GAACUCGGGAGAGCUGCCGUCCCUGACCUCGACCUGAGACGUGGAGGAGGGACAGGGAAAAAGCCUUCUUCUCGCAGCUGCAGGUUGCCCCACCGAGGGCAUUUUUCCGCACCGAGGGGGCGGGGGGCAGAAUGCACGCCAGAAAACCUAAGUGCGCUGGGUUUAAAAUAGCAACAACAACAAAAAUUACAAAUAACCAAAAAACAGCAUAAGAAUUAAAAACAGUUAUAUUCCAAUGUUUUUAAUACUUGGUUCACAUUUUGGAUGCUCUCCCCAGGGAUCCGACGGCGCUGCGGAGGCGGCAGCGAUGUUUGGGAUCCUAAAGAAAGCAUCAGACCAGACUCAGGUCUGGACGUCCCUCAAGUGGCCCGGAGGUACCGAUAUUAGUGUCACCGCCGUCAGUGCCCUGCCCAGAAAUAAAACCUUUGUUCUGAGAGAAAUUGAAAAGCUGGAAAAUAUGGAGUAGGCGAUGUGAAGAGAAACUACAGGGAAUGUAGAGGUCGGGUUUUAAAUGCGUAUUUCCUCAAGGAUGUUGUGGAAGCAGAGACAAGGUGGCUGGCCUGGAGCAGGCUGGAGGACCUCCAAGGAUCUCCACAGGGAGGCAGUUACAUUUAACACCCUACCUAGCAAAAGAAGAAAAGAACAACCCCAUGAAAACAUCCCUGGGGUUUUAACAAAGGAAUCCCUGACAAAACGUGACUGAUAACUAGGACAGAACUGAAAAGUGGAAGUAAAGUCAAUCCCGACCCCCCAGGACGCCUGGGAACUCAGGGAAGCGCCUCCAGAAGGGAACAGCUCAGAAACCCUGACCAGACCUGGCGGACAAGAACCGUGUGGGCGGGGGACAGGAACGCCCACCCAGAGGCCGGGAGAGCAUGGUCCAGGACUGGCAGCCACUAACAGCCUCUGAAUGAAACUGAGGAAGGAAGUCAAUGGUAAUCGGGACCAUUAGGGUGCACCAGGGCAUAUAGAACAGUCGGGGACGGUAAGAAAACAUUCCUUCCAGAGACAUUCACUGGCACCUCCCGCGCAGACACACUGCCAGGCCCGGGAAUCGCAGAGAUGAACUGGGAGACUUGUCUGCCCUGGAGAACUCACAGCUGUUGAGCAGCAAAUCUCUUCAACCUUUCGGAGAUGGACUGCAUUUCCUACCAAGACCCUGGCUGAUAGCAGAGUGACCCCAGGAAACACAGUUCCUCAAUUGUGGGAUUCUGGCUGGGUUACCCACAGAUUCGUGCGUGCAUAGCGAACAAAAGGGAUGCUAGUAACCCGUGGCAUGGAGGGGCAGCAGGAUUACUCCAGUUAGCACUGGGAAUAGUGUGAGGGGCAUAUGGACCACAAAGCUUUGGGGGCUUUUGCUGCUGUUGCUCUUGAUUGCUAUGGCAACAGUAAUAAUUAUAAAGAUUGUAGAGUGAAAUGGAUGUUUCUGACUGCCCUGGAGAGUUUUUAAACAAUGGAAGAGAUAAACAUGAAGUAUUAAAUUCUUAUUUUAAGGUACAGAUAUGCUGAAAUCCAAAGAACCAUUUAUCUGGGAUAGGCACAGGACAGAAUAAGUUCAUCUUCAGAUACUAAAUAUAAUUGUACAGAUUACAGAAUUGUGGCAAAGGUUAAGUGCUCAACCUCAGCAAGUUCUCUUGCUAAGAUUAGGACACUGAUUGGGAAGGAGUAGGACCAUAGACUUGUGAUAGGAACAUUUGGACAGACACAGACAAAGCCGAAUUCCCAAAUCUCAAGGCUCCCUUGUAUACAGAAGCAGCCCCGCCUCCCCUGUGCAAGGAAAUUAGCCUUCACAUACACUAAGAGCUUUCAAGACUUCACUGGGGCCUCUGCCUCCCACAUGGAUGCCUGUUCUCCUCCAAACUUGCCCCUGAUGCACCUCAUUGACUCCAGGAGCAUAACAAGAAUAAACUCUCUACAGAGCCCAGAAGGAGAAAUGCAAGGUCAGCCAGAGAAGAGGAGGAUGGAAAUAGAUUAUAUACCACGAAAGCUGGAAAAUCUUGCCAAUAUGUGUUGCAGAGAAGCUGAGAACUGUGUAUGGGAAUGGAUUCUAAAGUGUUAGACUAAGGAGGAUGAAAUACUAGGUUAGGCCAGGCAUGGUGGCUCACACCUAUAUUCCCAGCACUUUGGAAGGCAGAGACAGGAGGAUAGCUUGAGGCCAGGAGUUCAGGACCAGCCUCGGCAACGCGGUGAGACACCGUCUCUACAAAAAAUGUAAAAAUUAGCCACGUGUGGUGGUGCACGCGUGCCUCUGGUCCCAGCUGCUCAAAGGCUGAGGUGGGAGGAUCAUUUGAACCUAGGAGGUCAAGGCUGCAGAGACCUAUAAUGGCACCAUUGCACUUCAGCCUGGUGACAGAGCAAGACCCUGUCUCGAAUAAAAUAUAAAGUAAGAUUCAGCAAAAUUUAUGAAUAUGCAUACAUUCCCCUGGGAUUUAUGAUUUAGUGUGUUAUAUAUUGGAGUGAUUAAAAUGUUUUAGACAAAAAAAAAAAAAAAAAAAAA